RNAcentral lists this ribosomal RNA (301 nucleotides) under uncultured bacterium. RNAcentral describes it as "partial 16S ribosomal RNA". It matches the Rfam family "Bacterial small subunit ribosomal RNA", at positions 509 to 807 of the family's 1533-position model. The record is from RNAcentral.
CAGUCGCCGCGGUAAUACGUAGGGUGCGAGCGUUAAUCGGAAUUACUGGGUGUAAAGCGUGCGCAGGCGGUUUGUUAAGACAGAUGUGAAAUCCCCGGGCUCAACCUGGGAACUGCAUUUGUGACUGGCAGGCUAGAGUAUGGCAGAGGGGGGUGGAAUUCCGCGUGUAGCAGUGAAAUGCGUAGAUAUGCGGAGGAACACCGAUGGCGAAGGCAGCCCCCUGGGCCAAUACUGACGCUCAUGCACGAAAGCGUGGGGAGCAAACAGGAUUAGAUACCCGAGUAGUCCCUGUCUCUUAUAC